GCAACCAUAGAAUCCAGCCUAUCGGUACGAAUAUGCGAAUUUAUUCUUCUACUUUUUUUCCUGCAGAUAAAUGUUAUUCCUUGCAUAACAUGUUUGUAUGUUUAUUAGAAGUCAGUUCAUUUGUUUUCCCCUUUACCCUAUUUACAUUCCAUGUUUGUAAAUAAUAUUAUCUUGUGGAAUCAGAUGACAUAUUUUCAAGCAUCUGAAUUCCCUGAGCUCUGGCAUGGUG
This 229-nucleotide unclassified non-coding RNA is filed under the name Hevea brasiliensis (rubber tree). The record is from RNAcentral. Lineage: Eukaryota; Viridiplantae; Streptophyta; Magnoliopsida; Malpighiales; Euphorbiaceae.